This 1095-nucleotide ribosomal RNA is filed under the name Salmonella enterica subsp. enterica serovar Kentucky. RNAcentral describes it as "bacterial SSU rRNA". It matches the Rfam family "Bacterial small subunit ribosomal RNA", at positions 1 to 1087 of the family's 1533-position model. Lineage: Bacteria; Pseudomonadati; Pseudomonadota; Gammaproteobacteria; Enterobacterales; Enterobacteriaceae. The record is from RNAcentral.
AAAUUGAAGAGUUUGAUCAUGGCUCAGAUUGAACGCUGGCGGCAGGCCUAACACAUGCAAGUCGAACGGUAGCACAGAGAGCUUGCUCUCGGGUGACGAGUGGCGGACGGGUGAGUAAUGUCUGGGAAACUGCCCGAUGGAGGGGGAUAACUACUGGAAACGGUAGCUAAUACCGCAUAACGUCGCAAGACCAAAGUGGGGGACCUUCGGGCCUCACACCAUCGGAUGUGCCCAGAUGGGAUUAGCUAGUAGGUGGGGUAACGGCUCACCUAGGCGACGAUCCCUAGCUGGUCUGAGAGGAUGACCAGCCACACUGGAACUGAGACACGGUCCAGACUCCUACGGGAGGCAGCAGUGGGGAAUAUUGCACAAUGGGCGCAAGCCUGAUGCAGCCAUGCCGCGUGUAUGAAGAAGGCCUUCGGGUUGUAAAGUACUUUCAGCGAGGAGGAAGGCGUUGUGGUUAAUAACCACAGCGAUUGACGUUACUCGCAGAAGAAGCACCGGCUAACUCCGUGCCAGCAGCCGCGGUAAUACGGAGGGUGCAAGCGUUAAUCGGAAUUACUGGGCGUAAAGCGCACGCAGGCGGUUUGUUAAGUCAGAUGUGAAAUCCCCGGGCUCAACCUGGGAACUGCAUUUGAAACUGGCAAGCUUGAGUCUCGUAGAGGGGGGUAGAAUUCCAGGUGUAGCGGUGAAAUGCGUAGAGAUCUGGAGGAAUACCGGUGGCGAAGGCGGCCCCCUGGACAAAGACUGACGCUCAGGUGCGAAAGCGUGGGGAGCAAACAGGAUUAGAUACCCUGGUAGUCCACGCCGUAAACGAUGUCUACUUGGAGGUUGUGCCCUUGAGGCGUGGCUUCCGGAGCUAACGCGUUAAGUAGACCGCCUGGGGAGUACGGCCGCAAGGUUAAAACUCAAAUGAAUUGACGGGGGCCCGCACAAGCGGUGGAGCAUGUGGUUUAAUUCGAUGCAACGCGAAGAACCUUACCUGGUCUUGACAUCCACGGAAGUUUUCAGAGAUGAGAAUGUGCCUUCGGGAACCGUGAGACAGGUGCUGCAUGGCUGUCGUCAGCUCGUGUUGUGAAAUGUUGGGUUAAGUCC